GUGUGCUGGAAAGCGGUUCUGGUAUUAGGAGGAGGCGUGACCACCCAAUAGGCUUCUCUUCCCGCGGGGCGUGGCCGUCAAAGAGCUGGACGCCGCGCCUGGCUGGGCGGGUCAGCUGCGUAGCGGACGGCGUGGACUCGGCCGCGCAGCGGCUCCUUUAAGGCUCGGGCACCACCCCCGCCGCCCCGCCUCCCGCGCGGCCUGGGUCUAGUUUGCGGUGGGGUCGGGUCCGCGCUAACCGCGAUGGAGCUGCACAUCCUAGAACACCGGGUGCGGGUGCUGAGCGUCGCCCGUCCGGGUCUCUGGCUCUACACCCACCCGCUCAUCAAGCUGCUCUUCCUGCCCCACCGCAGCCGGUGCAAGUUCUUCAGCCUGACGGAGACCCCUGAGGAUUACACACUUAUGGUGGAUGAGGAGGGCUUUAAAGAGCUGCCCCCAUCUGAGUUUCUGCAAGUAGCUGAGGCCACAUGGCUGGUGCUGAACGUGUCGUCUCACAGCGGUGCGGCAGUGCAGGCUGCUGGGGUUACCAAGAUCGCCCGCUCGGUCAUCGCGCCACUGGCCGAGCACCACGUGUCUGUGCUGAUGCUGUCCACUUACCAGACGGACUUCAUCCUGGUGCGGGAGCAGGACCUGUCCGUGGUGAUCCACACGCUGGCCCAGGAGUUCGACAUUUACCGCGAGGUGGGCGGAGAGCCUGUGCCUGUGACGAGGGAUGAUUCCAGCAAUGGCUUUCCCCGCACUCAGCAUGCAGGGCUCAGCCCCACGGUGCAUCCCAUCCAGAGCCCACAGAACCGCUUCUGUGUCCUCACACUGGACCCUGAGACGCUUCCAGCCAUCGCCACCACCCUCAUAGAUGUCCUCUUCUACUCGCACAGCACCCCCAAGGAGGCAGCCUCUAGCAGUCCUGAACCCAGCUCCAUCACGUUCUUUGCCUUCUCCCUCAUCGAGGGUUAUAUCUCCAUUGUCAUGGAUGCUGAAACACAGAAAAAGGGUGGAUGGGGGUGCCCUGCCCAUCACCCAUCUCCUUCCCCAGGUUCCCCAGUGACCUGCUGCUGACCAGCUCCUCAGGGGAGCUGUGGAGGAUGGUGCGCAUUGGCGGACAGCCCCUGGGCUUUGAUGAAUGUGGCAUCGUGGCGCAGAUUGCGGGUCCCCUGGCAGCCGCUGACAUCUCUGCCUACUACAUCAGCACCUUCAACUUCGACCACGCCCUGGUGCCCGAGGACGGUAUCGGCAGCGUCAUCGAGGUCCUCCAGCGGCGGCAGGAAGGCCUGGCUUCCUGAGUCCCAUGGGGAACAGAGCAGCCACCCUGCUCUCCCCUCGACCCAGGCUUCCAAAGACUUCUCUAAAGCUAUUUCCUUAAGCUCCGGAAUGAGCCCCCUGUUCUGCCGGGGACCCUCGUUCUGCUCUCUGUAUGUAAGCUGCGUGCGGGCACCGGCUUUUACGCAGACACCUGUGUGCAUUCGCAGGUGGAGUGGGCAGGUGCUAGCCUGACUGCGUGUCUGCCCACACAGGGGAACACGGUGCUCGGGGCUUAAGCCCCCAACCCAUCACUCCCUGCGCGGCCUCGGCGUUUGCACAGUCCCUGCCUGAGGCCCAAGCCACCCCCCUCAGCCUUCUUGGGCCAGCUGUCCCCCAGACAGGGCCCUGACCUCUGUUCUGCCUCUGGUGGGGUUGCCUUCCCUGGCCAGGUGAGUCCUGACAGUGCCUCCCCCUCUGGGGCCGCCGAGAAAAGCAUUUUGACAAUCUCUCUCUCUUCUGUUUUUAUUGACUUGUUAAUAAAGGACUUUGUAGUGAC
Cercocebus atys (sooty mangabey) is the source of this 1795-nucleotide RNA transcript. It is a transcript of the gene named GATS protein-like 3, with no coding region annotated. The transcript is spliced from 9 exons. NCBI's taxonomy places the organism in Eukaryota, Metazoa, Chordata, Mammalia, Primates, Cercopithecidae. The record is from RefSeq and is a predicted model, not a curated record.